Myripristis murdjan (pinecone soldierfish) is the source of this 83-nucleotide long non-coding RNA. RefSeq lists it as uncharacterized. The transcript is spliced from 3 exons. The record is from RefSeq and is a predicted model, not a curated record. NCBI's taxonomy places the organism in Eukaryota, Metazoa, Chordata, Actinopteri, Holocentriformes, Holocentridae.
UGUUUGCUUGUAAACAAGAGAAGUUGACGGGUCAUAUUUAGAGGAUCUAUUACACUCGUAUGGAGUAACAAAUACCACUAUAU